Molecule: long non-coding RNA, 366 nt
Organism: Xenia sp. Carnegie-2017
Lineage: Eukaryota; Metazoa; Cnidaria; Anthozoa; Malacalcyonacea; Xeniidae
Exons: 4
Source: RefSeq, a predicted model, not a curated record
GGGCUCAAACUUUUCAACCGAGAAAGAAACCCAGGAAUGAUUUUAAUAUCAAAUCGAUUUUGGAAGAGUCCGAAGUUGGUGCUCAAGUGAUUUGCGAACUGGAUACGGAUAAAUUAAGCAGAAAAAGCAGAAUCAAGAUGGUUCAGAUACUAGUGGCUUACAUAAUUAAUCAGUUUGGAGAAAGGCCUCAUGCAGACAUCAAAAUCCAAAUGGCAAAGGCAGUGGUAUAGCAGUUUCCUUUCCUUAAAGACGAAGAGGGUCAAGGAUAUGAAGCUUGGUACACGCCAGGAAAGGGAAUUCAUUCUGCUACAGGGUGGUUGGAAGAACGGCUUAGAAAUGUUAGGAGAAAGAACAUAAAACACCGUC